This is a long non-coding RNA of Vicia villosa (hairy vetch), 1356 nucleotides long. RefSeq lists it as uncharacterized. NCBI's taxonomy places the organism in Eukaryota, Viridiplantae, Streptophyta, Magnoliopsida, Fabales, Fabaceae. The record is from RefSeq and is a predicted model, not a curated record. The transcript is spliced from 3 exons.
AAAAAAAUGAAAGAGUAAUUUUAGGGUUACAUGUUUGUGACGCAUCAGCUUCCUUUGAGAAGCUUCCUUCUCUUCACAAAACGCACCGAACGGCGCCGGUGGACUUCUCCGACGAGAUCCUCCGUCGCGCUACCGUCUCAACCUCACGCUCUCUCGCAACGCGUUAUUCUCAGUUCUCUCCGAUCGUGUUCUCGUAUCUCUCUCACAUCUCAGGAACUCGGUGACGUUCCCUCAUUCUCCGACGAGGAACUACAACACCGCUGCGAUAACCACAGCACCGAUUGCUCUCCUCUCGGUUCUCUCUCGUCAACUCAAACCUCUCUCGAUUCAAGUUCUCUUCCUCAAUCUCUCGCUCUCGGUUCUCUAUUUUUCAUUUCGGAUUGCGUGGAACUAAUUGUGAUGUUGAUCGAUUUCUGAAGCAAGUUCAAGAAUUGUUUGCAAUUGUGACGAUGUGGAUCGAAGAAUUGCGUGCAGUUGUAGAAUCGGAUCGUUGCAGGCUCGUGAUGAUUCGAUGAUGAUUAGGUGCGAUGUUGAACGCGCUUUGGUUCGCCGCAAGGUUGCGUUUAAGAGCUACAAUGAUCUUCGAAGUCAGGCUAUUGAAUCGGUGAUUAUAGAUAUGAUGAAGAUUGAACUGCGAUUCCGAGAGAGGUGAAGAUGAAGACGCAACGAAGAUGAAGGUGAAUUCUCAGAUUGUGUUUUCAGUUACGAUUCUUUUUCUCUUUUGCUUUUUUCCCAUUUUCUGAUUCUUUUCCCGGUUGGUGAAUAUGAAUGAUGAUGAAGAAGUCAUAGUGAUUGAUUCUCCGUGAAUUUGUGAAGAUUAAAGAUGAUGAAGAUUGGAGAAGAGAGGAUGAGAGCGAUUGAAGGUUCAAGAUCGGAGAUGGAGGUUCGUUGAGGGAUCCAUGAAGAGAGGUCAAGAGCCUGGUUUUAUUGCAGGUAACAGCUUGGAUUGGUUAACUAGAACAUGUCCGGUUCAAUUUUAUUCACUGAGGAGUAUGUGGUUUGAACCGAUUUUUGGCAUGGAUUAAAUGGUGAAGCGAUGUGAUGAUCGUGGACCUUGGAUGUAUUUUGUGCGGUAGUGAUACUAGUUUGUGCAGCGAGCUCCUUGAGGUUAUAGGACUUUAUCACGGGAGCAUCUUUGACAUAUCAUAAAGAGACUUGGAAAUCAGAAGACUUAAGUAUAGAGAAAGUGAAGAUGAACUUAGGCCCUCCCUUUUUGUAAUUCUUUUGUAGUUGAAUUUUGGAAUAUAUGGACAUUUUUGAGAAUUUUUAUAAUUUUACUUUUGUAAUGGAUAACUUUGGUAUUUUGUAAUGAUUUUUGAACUUUGGAUGAAUAAUGAUGUAUAAAUUUUGAAAGAA